RNAcentral lists this ribosomal RNA (290 nucleotides) under uncultured bacterium. RNAcentral's name for it is "partial 16S ribosomal RNA". It matches the Rfam family "Bacterial small subunit ribosomal RNA", at positions 505 to 796 of the family's 1533-position model. The record is from RNAcentral.
GUGUCAGCAGCCGCGGUAAUACGUAGGGGGCUAGCGUUGUCCGGAAUCAUUGGGCGUAAAGCGCGUGUAGGCGGCUCGGUAAGUCCGCUGUGAAAGUCGGGGGCUCAACCCUCGAAUGCCGGUGGAUACUGUCGAGCUCGAGUACGGAAGAGGCGAGUGGAAUUCCUGGUGUAGCGGUGAAAUGCGCAGAUAUCAGGAGGAACACCAAUAGCGAAGGCAGCUCGCUGGGACGUUACUGACGCUGAGACGCGAAAGCGUGGGGAGCAAACAGGAUUAAACCCCGGUAGUCC